This 76-nucleotide transfer RNA is filed under the name Streptomyces termitum. RNAcentral describes it as "tRNA-Arg". Lineage: Bacteria; Bacillati; Actinomycetota; Actinomycetes; Kitasatosporales; Streptomycetaceae. The record is from RNAcentral.
CGUCACGACGGGGUGCGAGGGGCCGGGGGGCGUUCCGGCCGGUCCUGGCGGCGGUACGACUCCGCCGGCGGCGCCC